CAGACUUUGACAAAGUAAGGACCUCUAUAUAGAAUAAAAAAAAACUCCUUCAAGUCUUGCAUUUGUUUUUUUUUCAAAAGUUUCUACGGCGCUCCCUUAAAAUAUUAAUAUUGUGGAAACAAGUGCCUAUACAACUGAGGAAAUACAAUUCGAAAAAUCUGGAAAACAUAGAAAUGGAAACUCACUCAACCAAAAACGGAUUAAGUGGAUGGCGGGGACGACAAAAAGGUCGGCAAAGAGGCGCAAAAACUUGACCAGGCCAACGAUGGCUGGUGGGGAAUUAUUAUGCAGCAGCAAUUACUCGCCAAUUGUCGUCGCAAUGAGAUAGAGAGCGAAUGGCUAGCGGACUGGCAUCGAGAAUGGGAACGGGAACGGGAACAAAAGGAGAAAAAGCUGUUCGAAAAGGCGAUAAUCCAGUCGGGAACGAUGGACGCCGAGGAUCGCAAUGAUCAAACGCGUCUGCCAGCGUCAGCGGUUUUGGCCCGGCCGGUUAUGACCAAAUGCAGAGGAUUUGCAGUCGCCCCCUGUGAUUAUUUUUAUUAUAAUUGCGCGUUUAUUGGCGUGAGGAUAUGUUGCCACUCGAAUCCGUGGGGACACCACACAGCAAUGCCGCAUCGAGUCUACAACUGCUAAUGACGACGACACCUUGGACGACGAUACCCCUCUGGCCCACCGAUUCCAUCAUCUCUCUGGACACUGGACAAUCCGAAAACAUCCCACUAAUUUUUCCUUAUAUGUCCAAAGUGGUACACAAACGGCAAACGGCAAAUCGGCUUUGAUUUGUGUGGCAAACUUGGCGCUUGUUGUACAGCAUUUUUGCGUCUCUUAAACGUAGCAUUUUCCUCUGCAUUUGUUGCUCUUUAGUUUAUAGAUUUUAUAGGCCUUUGGGUUAUAGAUAAGUCAUGUAAAGAUUGGCCGACAAGACAUGUAAAGAGGAUAACUAGUAAUGUAAUAAAUAAAUAGGGUCUUGGCAAAUUACUUAAGUUUCAAAAUAAUUUUAUUUUGCUAAGCACUAAACGAAGCUUCUUACAUUUUUCCAAAUGAUAUUUUUUCGAAUUGACUUUCCAUCAAUGACUAGAAAAGUCAAGAAAUAAGUUCACUUUAUCUAAGGCUUAUCAAAUCCUCAAAACAUCAAUUAUGUGAAACAAGUAUUAAUCAUUAAAAAGAUAUUGUACUUCAAAGUUAAUGGUUUUUUAAAAUGCCCUAAGGCCACACCAACCAUAUGAACUUUACAGAACUUAACAAAAACCCAAAAUAAACUAAAAAUGUUUUUGCUUAUAUCAGAUUUUCCUUAUUGUAACAACUAAUGGCUUAUUUCCCACUUGACGUAUCUAUAAUCUCGAGCGGCGCCUCACCUUCAUUACCUCAUCAAUUAUUUCAAGGAACUGCAAAUCAAUUAGGAAGUGCAUUUAUAAUAACCCAAUCCACACUUCGAACUUUAGUAUACUAACUGUUUAAGUAGAUUUCGAAUCAACCAAUUGCCGUUGGCGCCAACAGACGUAACAAAGCCGUAAAGCUGUUGAAAAUCUUCUUCAAAUAAUUAACUAUUGAACUGAAAAGCAAUUGGAAAUACAAAAAAGUGUUUUACAGAUGGAAAUCUUGAGCAAUCGCUAGACCCUCUACGGCCUGACACAACGAACUUAUUUAUUAUAGUUGAGAAAAAACACUUGUAAUGCUCAAUUUUUUUCACAGUUAAGAGAGACGUGUUUGGUUUAUGAUUUGAUUUGACUUUUAUCAAUAGUUCAAUUGGUACUUAUUUAAAAAUAAGCUAAACAGCAUAAAUUGUUCAAAAUUUAUUUAAUUUGUAGAAUCAAAUCUUUUCAAUACAAAUAUGUCAAAUAUUUUGUUUUUAAAUUAUCUAAACAGCUCUACUGCAUCAACAACAUACAGAAAAAUUACUACAUUUAAUAAAAUUGUUUAGUUAUGUGUAAUUUAACUUUUAUUCAAAA
This is a long non-coding RNA of Drosophila elegans, 1949 nucleotides long. RefSeq lists it as uncharacterized. The record is from RefSeq and is a predicted model, not a curated record. NCBI's taxonomy places the organism in Eukaryota, Metazoa, Arthropoda, Insecta, Diptera, Drosophilidae. The transcript is spliced from 4 exons.